AAAGCGUUGGGGAGCGAACAGGAUUAGAUACCCUGGUAGUCCACGCCGUAAACGAUGAAUGCUAAGUGUUAGGGGGUUUUCCCCCCUUAGUGCUGCAGCUAACGCAUUAAGCACUCCGCCUGGGGAGUACGGUCGCAAGACUGAAACUCAAAGGAAUUGACGGGGGCCCGCACAAGCGGUGGAGCAUGUGGUUUAAUUUCGAAGCAACGCGAAGAACCUUACCAGGUCUUGACAUCCUCUGACAAUCCUAGAGAUAGGACGUCCCCUUCGGGGGCAGAGUGACAGGUGGUGCAUGGUUGUCGUCAGCUCGUGUCGUGAGAUGUUGGGUUAAGUCCCGCAACGAGCGCAACCCUUGAUCUUAGUUGCCAGCAUUCAGUUGGGCACUCUAAGGUGACUGCCGGUGACAAAC
This 409-nucleotide ribosomal RNA is filed under the name Bacillus subtilis. RNAcentral describes it as "bacterial SSU rRNA". It matches the Rfam family "Bacterial small subunit ribosomal RNA", at positions 755 to 1163 of the family's 1533-position model. The record is from RNAcentral. Lineage: Bacteria; Bacillati; Bacillota; Bacilli; Caryophanales; Bacillaceae.